UCCGGCUUAUCACCGGCAGUUUCCUCAGAGUUCUCAGCAUUACCUGUUAGCAACAGAGGACGAGGGUUGCGCUCGUUGCGGGACUUAACCCAACAUCUCACGACACGAGCUGACGACAGCCAUGCAGCACCUGUGCUCCUCCCACCCGAAGUGAAGAAAUCCAUCUCUGGAAAUCAUAGAGGGCAUGUCAAGGCCUGGUAAGGUUCUUCGCGUUGCCUCGAAUUAAACCACAUGUUCCACCGCUUGUGCGGGUCCCCGUCAAUUCCUUUGAGUUUUAAUCUUGCGACCGUACUCCCCAGGCGGGAUGCUUAGAGCGUUAGCUGCGCCACUGAGAGGUAACCCCCCAACGGCUAGCAUCCAUCGUUUACGGCGUGGACUAC
This 380-nucleotide unclassified non-coding RNA is filed under the name uncultured Rickettsiales bacterium. Its description in RNAcentral is "contains 16S-23S intergenic spacer region". The record is from RNAcentral. Lineage: Bacteria; Pseudomonadati; Pseudomonadota; Alphaproteobacteria; Rickettsiales.